Molecule: ribosomal RNA, 118 nt
Filed under: Pteropus alecto (black flying fox)
Lineage: Eukaryota; Metazoa; Chordata; Mammalia; Chiroptera; Pteropodidae
Source: RNAcentral
GUCUACGGCCAUGCUUCCCUGAACAAGCCUGAUCCCGUGAUCUUGGAAGCUAAGCAGGGUCGGGCCUGGUUAGCUUCCAGGAUGGAAGACCACCUAGGAAGACCAGGUGCUAUAAGUG